Molecule: long non-coding RNA, 1001 nt
Filed under: Brassica napus (rape)
Lineage: Eukaryota; Viridiplantae; Streptophyta; Magnoliopsida; Brassicales; Brassicaceae
Description: long non-coding RNA (BNAP_LNC012205)
Source: RNAcentral
CGCUGUCCAUGGGGACAACUAUGCGCUAUUGUACGCAUGUACACAAAACAACAAUGUACACAUGUUUUAGCCAAAUAAACAUCAUCUUUACACAAUUCGAUUAUCAUUUUGCAACAAGUUUAGUAAAACACCAAACAUGUUUUAGCAGCAACACCAAACAUGCCUACAUUAGGAUUACACAUACAACACAAACUACCGUAAUUUUUAGCCGAAUAAAACCAUCAUUCUUACAUCCAUGAUACGUCCAUAUCAUACAAUCAAACCGCAAAAUAAAAUCUUACACCAUCCGAUUAGCAUAAUAUAAUAAGUCUACAUAAUGCAAACACAACACCUAACAUGCAUACAUUAGUCCUCUAACUUCUCACUUCGUCUCAUCCUCCGCAUAAACUGGUACAACCCAAUCCUUGUAUUAAUCCAUAGCAAACUGCUUCCUCAUUAUGUCCACCAAAUCGUCAGUCAUACCAUCCAUGGAUGUGGGUUCCCUAGAGCAUUUAGCUCCAUAAACUUUAUCGCAACAGGCUCACAAUCACCACCACGCCUAUUACACAAGGUACAAAGUAAAAUUAGAGCUGGUUCACCAGGUUCAGAGUACAAAUGUACAACUCAAAGCAAUAUCCAUAUGUACACGUGAGAAUCAGUGUCACAGAAGUGUACACAUGUACACACACAUAACUGAUACCAACAAAAAAAUGAAACUUAGAAAACUCUGCCUACACCACCUCUGUAAAACUGAUACCAACAAAAAAAUGAAACUUAGAAAACUCUGAAAUCGGAACCCUAAUCCUAAAAUCGAAAUCCUGAAUCCUAAAUCCCAAAAUCGAAAUCCCAAACCCUAAUCCCAAAAACGAAAUCCCAGAAUUGAAACACUAACCCAAAACCUUGGGAAUCUUUAACCUCACAUGAGGAUUGAGAUGGAAGCAACCGUAAAUACCCAAACCAAUCAAGAUGUACAUAAUAAAUGGAUCUAACCUUUUGCUUUGACCUUGAAAUCUCUCCUCUUU